CUUAAAUGAAUUGACGGGACCCGCACAAGCAGCGGAGCGUGUGGUUUAAUUCGUUGCUACACGAAGAACCUUACCUGGGUUUGACAUAUAGGUUGUAGGGAACUGAAAGGGACCGACCCUUCGGGGAGCCUAUACAGGUGUUGCAUGGCUGUCGUCAGCUCGUGUCGUGAGAUGUUCGGUUAAGUCCGCUAACGAGCGCAACCCUCGUCGUAUGUUAUAUGUGUCAUACGAGACUGCCGGUAAAAAGCCGGAGGAAGGUGAGGAUGAUGUCAAGUCAGCAUGACCUUUAUAUCCAGGGCUACACACACGCUACAAUGGUCUGUACAAUGGGUAGCCAAGCCGCGAGGCGGAGCCAAUCCUGAAAGCAGGCCUCAGUUCAGAUUGCAGUCUGCAACUCGACUGCAUGAAGCCGGAGUUGCUAGUAACCGCAGGUCAGCAAUACUGCGGUGAAUACGUUCCCGGGUCUU
This 467-nucleotide ribosomal RNA is filed under the name uncultured Anaerolineaceae bacterium. Its description in RNAcentral is "bacterial SSU rRNA". It matches the Rfam family "Bacterial small subunit ribosomal RNA", at positions 900 to 1382 of the family's 1533-position model. The record is from RNAcentral. Lineage: Bacteria; Bacillati; Chloroflexota; Anaerolineae; Anaerolineales; Anaerolineaceae.